Molecule: transfer RNA, 73 nt
Filed under: Mus musculus (house mouse)
Lineage: Eukaryota; Metazoa; Chordata; Mammalia; Rodentia; Muridae
Description: tRNA-Ser
Source: RNAcentral
GGCUGGAGAGGGCUCAGCGGUUAAGAGUACUGACUACUUUUCCGGAGGUCCUGAGUUCAAAUCCCAGCAACCA